GACCUCAAAUCAGGUAGGACUACCCGCUGAACUUAAGCAUAUCAAUAAGCGGAGGAAAAGAAACUAACAAGGAUUCCCCUAGUAACUGCGAGUGAAGCGGGAAAAGCUCAAAUUUAAAAUCUGGUAGUCUUUGGCUGCCCGAGUUGUAAUCUAGAGAAGCGUUAUCCGCGCUGGACCGUGUAUAAGUCUCCUGGAAUGGAGCGUCAUAGAGGGUGAGAAUCCCGUCUUCGACACGGACUCCCAGGGCUUUGUGAUGCGCUCUCAAAGAGUCGAGUUGUUUGGGAAUGCAGCUCUAAAUGGGCGGUAAAUUCCAUCUAAAGCUAAAUAUUGGCGAGAGACCGAUAGCGAACAAGUACCGUGAGGGAAAGAUGAAAAGAACUUUGGAAAGAGAGUUAAACAGUACGUGAAAUUGUUGAAAGGGAAACGCUUGAAGUCAG
RNAcentral lists this ribosomal RNA (437 nucleotides) under uncultured fungus. Its description in RNAcentral is "eukaryotic LSU rRNA". It matches the Rfam family "Eukaryotic large subunit ribosomal RNA", at positions 1 to 432 of the family's 3401-position model. The record is from RNAcentral. Lineage: Eukaryota; Fungi.